AAUCCUGACAAUUUCCUAUUUCCAUGCCCUGUUCCCCCAACACUCAAAGCUGAGACCAUCUUCCUCCUGCCUCUCCCCACCAUGGCCUCCACGCUCCUCUGCUGUGUGGUCUUUUGUCUCCUGGGAACAGGCUCCAUGGAUACCGGUGUUACCCAGACCCCAAGAAAUAGGAUUGCAAACACAGGAAAGAGCAUUGUACUGGAAUGUUCUCAGACUAAGGGCCAUGAGUCUAUGUACUGGUAUCGACAAGACCCAGGACAGGGGCUCCGGCUGAUCUACUCCUCCUACGAUAUCAAUGACGAUCUGAGCCGGGUGCACCCGCCCAAGGUGGCUGUGUUCGAACCCUCGGAAGCAGAGAUCGACCGGACCCAGAAGGCCACGCUCGUGUGCCUGGCCACGGGCUUCUACCCCGACCACGUGGAGCUGACCUGGUGGGUGAACAGGAAGCAGGUCACCACUGGGGUCAGCACGGACCCUGAGCCCUACAAGGAGGACCCCACGCGGGAGGACUCCAGAUACUGUCUGAGCAGCCGGCUGAGAGUGACCGCCGCCUUCUGGCACAACCCCCGCAACCACUUCCGCUGCCAAGUCCAGUUCCACGGGCUCACGGACGAGGACGAGUGGAAGCCGGACAGGGCCAAGCCCGUCACCCAGAACAUCAGCGCCGAGGCCUGGGGCAGAGCAGACUGUGGUGUCACCUCUGCGUCUUAUCAGCAAGGCGUCCUGUCUGCCACCCUCCUCUAUGAGAUCCUGCUGGGGAAGGCCACCCUGUAUGCUGUGCUGGUCAGCGCCCUGGUGCUGAUGGCCAUGGUCAAGAGAAAAGAUUCCUGAAGCCAGCUUAGAAGUGGAGCCAGGAGCUUCUGGCCUGUUGCUGCCCUGAUGUGAGUUCUGCUUUUCCCAUUCCUACCCAGCGCUUCUGAAGAGCUGCCCUCAUCUCUGGACUCAGCCCAGCGUCCACUCCCAUGUGGGGGUGCCCCAAACUCUCAGGACCAGGAUCUCCCUAACCCAGGGGAGACCCUAGGGGGACUGAACUUGCUGAACCAAUAAAAAUGGCCUGUUGUGUUUUCA
Molecule: non-coding RNA, 1068 nt
Organism: Dama dama (fallow deer)
Lineage: Eukaryota; Metazoa; Chordata; Mammalia; Artiodactyla; Cervidae
Source: the annotation of a RefSeq genome assembly